GGCUCUUUUAAGGGCC
This 16-nucleotide unclassified non-coding RNA is filed under the name Holothuria tubulosa. Lineage: Eukaryota; Metazoa; Echinodermata; Holothuroidea; Aspidochirotida; Holothuriidae. The record is from RNAcentral.